This 442-nucleotide ribosomal RNA is filed under the name Staphylococcus aureus. RNAcentral describes it as "bacterial SSU rRNA". It matches the Rfam family "Bacterial small subunit ribosomal RNA", at positions 1 to 432 of the family's 1533-position model. Lineage: Bacteria; Bacillati; Bacillota; Bacilli; Caryophanales; Staphylococcaceae. The record is from RNAcentral.
UUUAUGGAGAGUUUGAUCCUGGCUCAGGAUGAACGCUGGCGGCGUGCCUAAUACAUGCAAGUCGAGCGAACGGACGAGAAGCUUGCUUCUCUGAUGUUAGCGGCGGACGGGUGAGUAACACGUGGAUAACCUACCUAUAAGACUGGGAUAACUUCGGGAAACCGGAGCUAAUACCGGAUAAUAUUUUGAACCGCAUGGUUCAAAAGUGAAAGACGGUCUUGCUGUCACUUAUAGAUGGAUCCGCGCUGCAUUAGCUAGUUGGUAAGGUAACGGCUUACCAAGGCAACGAUGCAUAGCCGACCUGAGAGGGUGAUCGGCCACACUGGAACUGAGACACGGUCCAGACUCCUACGGGAGGCAGCAGUAGGGAAUCUUCCGCAAUGGGCGAAAGCCUGACGGAGCAACGCCGCGUGAGUGAUGAAGGUCUUCGGAUCGUAAAACU